RNAcentral lists this ribosomal RNA (262 nucleotides) under uncultured bacterium. Its description in RNAcentral is "partial 16S ribosomal RNA". It matches the Rfam family "Bacterial small subunit ribosomal RNA", at positions 793 to 1055 of the family's 1533-position model. The record is from RNAcentral.
GUCCACGCCGUAAACGAUGAGUGCUAGGUGUUGGGGGUUUUGACCCCCCAGUACCGCAGCUAACGCGUUAAGCACUCCGCCUGGGGAGUACGGCCGCAAGGCUAAAACUCAAAGGAAUUGACGGGGCCCGCACAAGCGGUGGAGUAUGUGGUUUAAUUCGACGCAACGCGCAAAACCUUACCUGGGUUAAAUCCACUUGAACCUGGCAGAGAUGUCGGGGUGCCUUUCGGGAGCAAGUGAGAAGGUGCUGCAUGGCUGUCGU